GACGAACGCUGGCGGCGUGCUUAACACAUGCAAGUCGAACGGAAAGGCCCUGCUUUUGUGGGGUGCUCGAGUGGCGAACGGGUGAGUAACACGUGAGGAACCUGCCCUUGACUGUGGGAUAACUUCAGGAAACUGGGGCUAAUACCGGAUAGGAGCUCCUGCUGCAUGGGGGGGGUUGGAAAGUUUCGGCGGUUGGGGAUGGACUCGCGGCUUAUCAGCUGGUUGGUGGGGUAGUGGCGUACCAAGGCUUUGACGGGUAGCCGGCCUGGGAGCUUGACCGGCCACAUUGCGACUGCGAUACGGCCCAGACUCGUACGGGAGGCAGCGGUGGGGAGUAUUGCACAAUGGGCCGACGCCUGAUGCAGCGCCGCCGCGUGCGUGAUGACGGCCUUCGGGUUGUGAACCGCUUUCGCAUGUGCCGAAGCGUGAGUGACGGUACUGGGUAAAGAAGCACCGGCUAACUACGUG
RNAcentral lists this ribosomal RNA (468 nucleotides) under uncultured bacterium. RNAcentral describes it as "partial 16S ribosomal RNA". It matches the Rfam family "Bacterial small subunit ribosomal RNA", at positions 28 to 507 of the family's 1533-position model. The record is from RNAcentral.